This 254-nucleotide ribosomal RNA is filed under the name uncultured bacterium. Its description in RNAcentral is "partial 16S ribosomal RNA". It matches the Rfam family "Bacterial small subunit ribosomal RNA", at positions 524 to 776 of the family's 1533-position model. The record is from RNAcentral.
UACGGGGGGAGCAAGCGUUGUUCGGAUUUACUGGGCGUAAAGGGCGCGUAGGCGGCCACUGCAAGUCAGUUGUGAAAUCUCCGGGCUUAACCCGGAAAGGUCAACUGAUACUGCAGGGCUAGAGUGCAGAAGGGGCAACUGGAAUUCUUGGUGUAGCGGUGAAAUGCGUAGAUAUCGAGAGGAACACCUGCGGCGAAGGCGGGUUGCUGGGCUGACACUGACGCUGAGGCGCGAAAGCCAGGGGAGCGAACGGG